GUAACGCCAUGGGGGUAGGAAGCCCGGAACUAUUCUCCGUCUCCUGUGAGAAGCCAGGGUAGCAGAUAAGGACAGACUUGAGAGUUCUUCACUAGAAACAUCACAGUGUGACUUUUAACCAUUGUAACUGCUCUGGAAAUCCAACCACCCUGGAGCCAUAUCAAGAAGCAACGAUCUGCAACUAAACCUGCAACUGACUACCUCUACAGUGCACCUUAAUUGUUGGUGUGGUUUAGGAGACCACAGCUCUUGGUAGGAUUUCAAAGAAGCAGGUUUCUUUAUUCUUAAUUCUCUGUCUUGGUUCAAAAAAGCAGGAAGUCCUAAGCUUAGUUACACACUUGCUGAAAGUUUAUGAAGAAGUAGUUUGCUGAAAAAAAAAUCAGGUAUAUCAAUAAGCGCAAUCAUCAUCAUCGUCAUCAGCAUCAAAAGCAGCAGCACUCUCAUCACUGUCAGCAUCAUCAACAGCAGCACCACUCUUACCGUUGUUAUCAACAGUAUCAUUGUCAUCAUCAUCGUCAGCGUCAACAGCAGUAUCACUCUUACCAUUGUUAUCAUCAACAGCAUCAUUGUCAUCAACAACAUCAUCAUCAUCAUCAACCACAGGAGCAGUAGCAGCUUCACCACCAUCAGAACAUCCUGUACUCUAGGACUCAAGAGGAUAAUAUCACCAUACUCAUGAUGAAGCCUUGAAAAGCACAGGCACUGUUAAGACAUGUGAUGAAACAGUUCGUAGAUUAAUGUUUCAGAAAGUAAAAAGGGUGUAAAAUUCAAUCUGACUGACAAGGAGGAGCUAUUACACUUUGCUCUAAGCCCUAGAACCCUCAUCUCCAGCACAAACCAACCUUGUCAAAUCACAGAAGGUAUUCCUUCUGCUGUCACACCUAGGUCAGUUACUCCCUCAAUGCAAGAUGUCCAACACAUCUGUUUCCUCAAUGCAGGAGGUCCAACACACCUGCUUCCUCAGUGCAGGAGGUCCAACACACUGCUCCCUCAAUGAGAGAGGUUCAACACACCUUCUCCAACAAUGCAGAAGGCCCAACACACCUGCUCCCUCAGCACAGGAGACCUAAUAUAACCUGACAAGCUCUCUUCAAGGUCCAAGGGCUCUGCAUACAGAGAAAACAACAAACCAAAGCCAAACAAAGCAACAACAACAGAAGAUGAGAGAAGUUGAAGCAAAGUUUGCCUUUCCUCUGCUAAAUCUCUAUGCUCCCGUCUUUAAAGAGGGGGUCAGAAGGACAGUCGGGCAUCUUUAAGACUUCCAUCAAUUCAUGCAUGUAUUCAAAAACCAAUGCAGUACAUGUUAUGUAAUAUUAUUUUCCUUGCUGAGUUUUCAGACCAUAUUUUUUUGUGCUGUACUUUUCUCUCUGUGUGACAGUAGUUAGAAUAGGCAGGAGGAAAGACAAGAGGAAUUCUCAUCUCUAUAUGGAGUGUUGCUGCUAAAAUGAGCAGUAUCAUGCUGUGAGAACCCUGCACAGUUACUUGGGGAAAUGACACUCAGUAUAGCUGUUUUGCAAAUUGUUAUCAGUCCAUUAAGAAAUGAGGAAUCUGUGCCAGCUUGAACAAACACACUGAGUCCUACAUCAAGAAACAUUUUCUGUAAAAAAUAAAAACACUGAAUAAGUCAAGUUGCACACAACAUGAAGAUGGAGCACACCCUGUGUCCAUAGAUUCUUGAGUGAAAAAUAUGCCCAAAACAGAACAGCAAAAACAACUUGUAAUGGAUGUGAUGGACCCAGGUGUCUCUAUAGUCUUGUACAUUUCAUAUUGUAGUUUCUAUGGCAGUGCCUAGAGUUCUUUUAGGUGUGGCAUAAGUAAGAUUUGGCAUAGAAACAGAUGUGUUGUUCCCAAGCAGGUGUGCUCGCUACUUGUUAACCAAAUUCUUAAAAAAUGAGAAGGUGAGUGGAGAGAAAUAUGGCACUCUUUUAACUGAUGAAGUAGGCAGAUUAAGACAUUUUUAUUCUUUUCUUGAAGCAUUGUCUCACUAUGUAGCCUAGGUUAGCUUUGAACCCAUGCUCCUUCCUCACCUUUCUAAGUAAGAGAGUCACCUGUGUUGGCCACGGCUCCCAGCAGAAGGUUUACUGCUCCUUCUCAGCUCAUUGACCAACUCUUUUCUGGUAGUUAUCUGGCUAACACAAUAGAUUUAGUAAUAGUACUUUCCAUUUUCUCAUUUUUUGUUUAUGAAGCAAAUCAGAAAGCUAAGAAACACUUUUGAUUGAAGAGAAUAGAUGCUCAGAGAUAGAGUGACUUGCCAAGGAUUACAAUGGCCAAAAGUAGACAGAGGUGGAUCAGAGAUCUUUUGACCGUUAUUCCUUAGCUUUUGCCUACUUUUUCUAAAGUGGUAGGGAUUUGACUGAAGCAUUUACGAAACAAACCCAAUAGCACAAACAUGCAUAGUCCCUUCUGCAACACCAGAGGUACAGAGCACUAAAGCAUCUAGUCGUUGAAAUUAGUAUUCCGCUGUAAGUUGAAUUAUAAAUUAUGUCCAAGAUACAAAGUCACAUAAUACUAGGGCCAAAUAUAUUCUCAAUAGACUAUCUGAUGUUGGUGUAAACACAAAGAAAAGUGAGACACACUAAUUCCUCAAUGAAUGAUCACUGUUACUCUCUUCUACACUAUGUAUUUAGAGAAAAAAUGAUAGGAUUAAGAAAACAAUUUAUCAAAUUAAUAAAAAUCCUCCAAAUUAAUCCCAGGCCUCUGAUUUUGAUGAAGAACCUGAAAAAGAUCACUACUAGAGAAAAAUUCUGUAUCACUUGACAUUUAAUGUGAAAUCACUUAUCAAGUUGGCAAUAAUGAGGUGCUGCUAGCCGUCAUUUGUUACAAACCACAGAAAAAGUGCUUUCCUGUGGGUGUGAGGCAAUCGAGUGCUGUGCUUCAAUAGAGCAGUGGUUCUCACCCUCCCUAAUGGUACAACCCUUCAAUACAGUUCCUCAUGCUGUGGUGACCCUCAACCAUAAAAUUAUUUGCAUUGUUACUUCAUAACUAUAAUUUUGUUACUGUUACAUAUUAUAACAUAAACAAUUUCGAAGAUAGAGGUUUGCCAAAGGUCAUGGCCCACAGUGUGAGAACCACUGCCAUAGAUCAAGUCAAAGAAAACCAACACAACUUAGAGCUGGCCUUUUAAAAGUUAGUGCCUUUUCCUUGCCUUCCUAAGGCACUUGUUAUACAGUAGAGUCACGUUCUGUACUUGAUGCCAUGCAAAAAUACUGUUGUAUUAGCCAAAACCUUUAAAAGUGGCCUUAAAUCUUUAGCUUAGUAUUGCCAGAGAAAAUGGAUCAUCUAAUGUACCAACAUGUACAUAGAAAUAAACAUAAUAGUUAGAAAUAUGGCUCAUGAGACAAACCGAAGAUUGAUUCACUUAACUAGAAUUGGAAAUUUUAGGGUAUGGAGAGAACAUUUCAUCAAUACAGUGCUUGCCUUGCACACAUGAGGGCUUGAGUUUGAUUCCCAGAACUACUGUUUUGAAAAGCCAGGUAUGGUGGGAUAGGAAGGUGAAGGUAGGCAGAUAGGUGGUUCUCUAGGAAUUGCCAGUCAGCCAGACUUGACUAUUAGGUGAGGUCCAGGCCAGUGAGAGCUUUGGAUCAAACAUUUAGUUGAAAAGAGGGAGGAUGGAUUAUAUGAGCAAGCAGGGGGGGCGGGGAGGAGGCACAUUUAGGAUCAUGAUGGGGAAACCCACAGAGUCAGCUGACCAUAGCUCAUGGGAUCUCAUGGCCUCUGGAUAGUCAGCUGGGGACCCUUCCCCUGGUGGUAAGACCAAGAGCUAUCCCUGGUGCAUGAAAUGGCUUUUCGGAGCCCAUUCCCUAUGGUGGGAUGCCUUACUCAGUCUUGAUGCAGCAGGGAGGGGCUUGGUUCUGCCAUAACUUUAUGUGUGGGGCUUUGUUGACUCCCCAUGGGAGGCCUUGCCCUUUCUGGGGAGUGGAUGGGCAGAUGGUUUAGAGCAGGAGGAAAGGAGGCAGAACUAUGUUUGGUAUGGAAAACUAUUAGAAAUUUAAAAUAAAAUAUAAAACACAUGUAUCUACACAUGUAUGCAUGUAGUGCAUGGGUGUAUUUAAUGUGUAUGGGUGUUUGUACAUGUACACAUGCAUACACACACACUUGAACAUAGUCAGGCAUUGAAGCUAAUGUACUUGUAUCUUGUAUCUAAGCCAAUUAUAUUUCUUCCUUAGCUAUGACUAAUAUAAACUAAUGUGGUGUUUAACAACAUAUAUAUGCAAAGAAUGUGCCCUUGUCACAACAUAGAAAAUGGAUUUGUUUUCUGAAGAAACUACACAAAAUCCCUAGAAGAAAAGGUACUAAGGGAAAGGAAGAGAAAGAGACCAAACUCAUGAAUUCACUGUGGCUUAAACGUGAAUGGAAUUUGGUCCAUGGCAGCAUCAUUACUUGAAAGUUAUAGCAAUGUAAUUCAGGACAAACUGAUCCUCUAAAUAAAAUGGGUCCACCUCAGGCAGGAGUUCAAAUAUGGUGGUGAAGAAGUAAUAUUCUGGGUGCAACUGUACUUUGACCCAUUCCAUGUUGUAUUAAUCUUUAAUUACAUGGUGAUAAUAAGCAUGUAUUUUCCAAAGUGAACAGUUGAGUCACUAUUGGUGGGUCUGUCCUUGAAGGAAAUUAGUCCAUUCUUAGUCCAUUGAUGGCCAAUGCUCUCUACUUAUGUUUUAUUUUGUUUUAAUAUUUUUUGUUAAAAUUUCAACAUUUAUUUUUUAUGUAUUUAAUAUAUAUAGAUGUUUUGCUUGUGUGUUUGUCUGUAUAUCACACACAUGUUUGGUACCUACAGAAGCCAGAAGAGGGCAUCAGAUCCCCUGAGAUUGGAGUUGUAGAUGGUUGUGAGCCUCCAGGUGGAUGCUGGGAGCUAAACCUGGAUCCUCCAUAAGAGCAACUAGUGGUCCUAACCACUCAGCAACCUGCCCAGCCCUGCGCUUAUGUUUUUAAUUAAAUGCUGAAAGAAAA
Long non-coding RNA from Mesocricetus auratus (golden hamster), 4944 nucleotides. RefSeq lists it as uncharacterized. The record is from RefSeq and is a predicted model, not a curated record. The transcript is spliced from 3 exons. NCBI's taxonomy places the organism in Eukaryota, Metazoa, Chordata, Mammalia, Rodentia, Cricetidae.